CUUGAGAAUAAGUCAUUUCCCAAACAUACUAGGACACACUUUGGAAAGAGUGAGGGCCAGAGUUCUUUUAAGCCUCAGGAAAACUUUGGGUAAAAGAGAUGGAAGCCUGGGUCCAAAGUGACAAAGGAAGCACAAAUGUGUUAAUGAUGCAGAAGUCACCGCCUGGGCUUUGAAUGCUGCUGACACAUCAAAGGGCCCUGUUUGCCACAAAGAAGAAGAUCAUUUCUGGAGAGGGACAAAACCUUUGGGAGAAUGCUGCUGAAGCCCUUGAUUCACUGGUUAAUUAUGCAGACCAGCCCUCUGUUCUGCUGCCCCAGAGGUCAUGAAUUUGAACAUGCUUCAUGCCACCUUCAGAACAAACAGGCAAAACAACCCCAAACCAGGCUGUCUUUGGGGACUUUGUCAAGAAAGCCACUUUUUGGGCAACAUCAGCAUAUGCAAUACAAAUAUUCUCAUCAAAUAUUCACUUAUUUAAGCCAUUAAAUGAGAGGAAAAUUCUUCAGUAAAUAAGUACUUAAGAUAGCUGUCUUAUUUCACCAGUAGGCUAUAGAAUACCCAAAGCCUACAUUAAACUGUAUGUUAAGAUAGUUGAGAGAAAACUAGAAUUAGUUUUCUAUGUUUUAAAUAAUUCUAUGAUAGAACACAAGAAGACUAUUAACCAAAAUGUUAUGUCUUUGCUUGGAGGAAAUUUGUUAUUUUUAAUUCUGCUUUUUUAUACAUUCCAAAUUUAUUACAGUAAACAUAGACUACUUAUCUAGUGAAAGAAUAUAAAUAUUUUUCUUAUUGUGACAGAACACCCUAUAUGCCAGCAACAUUUUCUAGAAAAAUACUCAACUUCUCAAAAUGACUCAUUCUCUGAGGUUAGGUAGCCAAGGCUUGAUUGUAAUUUAGCAUGAAAUAGAAAGAGAAACUCAAGAGACUACACAGGUAAGAGAGUUUCACUGAGCUCAUUUAAUUUUCCAUUAGUAAUGGAAUUUUUAAUCACCUAAGUCACCGGUUUGCAUGUCUGUUUUCACUAAGGAUACAGGCAGGUGGGAGAUGUGCAGUUAUUUUAUAAUUAUUUAUUUGUAUGUGUUGAGAAAAAGCCCUCAGAAAUUUUAGCAGAAACUGGUUGGUCAGACUUAAGAGGAAUUAUCAAUAUCCUUCUUCAUUAAAAAAAAAAAAAAAAAAAAAAGCUGAAUUGGCAACUUCACAAAUUUAUUCACUGUUAGAAAUAGUUUUUCUAGUCCAAUUCUCAAACCCACACCUGGCCUCCCUCCUUUUAGCAGGAGAUUUGCCAUUUUUUAUUUACAGAGUGAGUUAUUUGAACGCUCUCAAAUUUCCACCUUCUCAGUUCCAGUUUUUUUUAUUUUUUUGUUUUUUGUUUUUGUCUUUUUGUCUUUUUAGGGCCGCAGGUGCAGCAUAUGGAGGUUCCCAGGCUAGGGGUCUAAUCAGAGUUAUAGCUGCUGGCCUAUACCAGAGCCACAGCAAGGCCAGAUCCAAGCCGUGUCUUCGACCUAUGCCACAGCUCAUGGCAACGCCAAUUCCUUAACCCACUGAGUGAGUGAGGCUAGGGAUCGAACCCAAAACCUCAUGGUUCCUAGUCAGGUUCCUUUCCACUGCGCCACAACGGGAACUCCCUCAGUUCCAGUUUUUAGGUCUCUUGGCUCUUUUUCUUUCCUGUUCUAGAGGAAAGAUGCUUCCCCAGCCUUCUCACCAGAGUUUGCAGACACCUCCUCUGCCCUCUCUUCAGAAACUUCUAUUCAGUGGACAUCCUAUUGCUUGGAUUUCAAUCUUUCCAUCUUUACUGACACUGAAUUAUUAUUGAAUGAUAUACUGAAUUAUUUUUCAGUUGAAAAGCAAGCCAAAACAUAACCAUAAAAAAUAAAACCUGGAGUUCCCAUCAUGGCACAGUGGUUAACGAGUCCGACUAGGAAACAUGAGGUUGCGGGUUCGGUCCCUGCCCUUGCUCAGUGGGUUGACAAUCAGGCAUUGCUGUGAGCUGUGGUGUAGGUUGCAGACGCAGCUCGGAUCCCACGUUGCUGUAGCUCACCCCUAGCCUGGGAAUCUCCAUGUGCAGCGGGAGCGGCCCAAGAGAUGGCAAAAAGACAAAGAAAAAAAGAAAGAAAGAAAGAAAACCCCAAAAUACAAAGUUCAAUAAAUUCAAAUAGAAAUAUGAAAUCCACAAAGAAAACCCCAAAAUACAAAGUUCAAUAAAUUCAAAUAGAAAUAUUUUUUAAAAUAUUAAUGUAAAACAAAGUAUAAACAAAGACUAAUAACAAACAAUAGUUAUUUGCAAAGUAUAUGAUUACCAGAGGAUAAAAUCCUCAUCAUUAUAUAACAUAACCAUAAUAUAUAAUCAAUAAUUUUUACAAAUCAGUAAGAACUGAGAAUACAUUUUACAUCACAUAUUUAAAUGCUGAAAUCUGAUUAUUUCAUAAAUCAUAUAGAAUUUAUGUCGUAUCUAUUGAUAUAUAUUCAUUAUUUAAGUAAUACUUUACUAUAGCUUAAGGCCAAGAGUUGUGGCUAUAGACAUUGACAGAUUAGUAGUUCGUUUUGAUUAUAAGAACUCUUGUCCUCCAACAACAAAUGAAGAACUUUUCUUAAUACGUGGUUUAGAGAUUGGCAAACCAUGAGCCUAUGGGCCAAAUUUAACCCACCACCCAUUUCUGUAAAGAAAGUUACUGAAAGAUAGGCAUGCCCAUUUAUUUACACACUGCCUAUAGCUGCUUUCAUGCUAUAGGGGCAAAACUGAGUAGUUGCAAUGGAGUUGUAUGGCCUGCAAAAUCUGAAAUAUUUACUCUCUGGCCCUUCACUGAAAAAAAGGUUUCCAACUGCUUGUUUAGAAUAUUUAGCUUAUUUAAAUCACAGAAAUAUUGGAGUUCCCUUUAUGGCACACCGGAAAUGAAUCCGACUAGUAACCAUGAGGUGGCAGGUUUGAUCCCUGGCCUUGCUCAGUGGACUGAGGAUCCAGCAUUGCCAUGAGCUGUGGUGCAGAUCACAGAUGUGGCUUGGAUCCCAUGCUGCUGUGGUGUAGGCUGGCAGCUGUAGGUCCAAUUCAACCCCUAGCCUGGGAACCUCACGUGCUGUGAGUGUGGCCUUAAAGAGAAAAAAAAAAAAAAAAAAUCACAGAAAUAUUUGAUCCAUUUUCCAGGAUCAUUCCUUUUUAAUUCCAUACAAUUAUAUCCUACAAGGCAUAAGGAUUUGUUGUUGCUGUUUGGUUUUUUGGUGGGACCAGGGAUUGAACCCGUGCCACAGCAGUGACCUUAGCCACAGGAGUAAUAAUGCCAGAUCCUUAUCCUUAUCCUUCCCUUAGGUCACCAGGGAAGUCCAGUAAGUUUUUUUUUUUCUUUUUUUUAAGAACAUAAAUUCCUAAAUAGAAAGGAUUAGGUUUUUAUACUUUAGGUGUAAUAUGUUCACAUUACCAUAAUUGAAUAAUAGAACAGUAAUCUUUCAAAAACAUAAGUUUUAAAACUGUUAAAGAAAAACUUCAGAAGAGUUACAAACAUCCAUGCAGAACUGAAUACAAUAAUCAUGAAAUUAUUUAAAUAGACUGAAUUCUGUAGUUUUGAGUGUUAUCUUGCUAAGGCACUACCAUAGAUCCUUUUCUGACAGUAUAACUGUCAGUAAAACAGAAA
Molecule: long non-coding RNA, 3617 nt
Filed under: Sus scrofa (pig)
Lineage: Eukaryota; Metazoa; Chordata; Mammalia; Artiodactyla; Suidae
Description: lncRNA (ENSSSCG00030050858.1)
Source: RNAcentral